UACGUAGGCGGAAAAUUAAGUCAGUGGUGAAAUCCUGCAGCUUAACUGUGGAACUGUCAUUGAUACUGGUUUUCUUGAAUACAGUUGAGGUAGGCGGAAUGUGUAAUGUAGCGGUGAAAUGCUUAGAUAUUACACAGAACACCGAUUGCGAAGGCAGCUUACUAAACUGUUAUUGACGCUGAGGUACGAAAGCGUGGGGAGCGAACAGGAUUAGAUACCCUGGUAGUCC
RNAcentral lists this ribosomal RNA (229 nucleotides) under uncultured bacterium. RNAcentral's name for it is "partial 16S ribosomal RNA". It matches the Rfam family "Bacterial small subunit ribosomal RNA", at positions 568 to 796 of the family's 1533-position model. The record is from RNAcentral.